Molecule: ribosomal RNA, 498 nt
Filed under: uncultured bacterium
Lineage: Bacteria
Description: partial 16S ribosomal RNA
Rfam family: Bacterial small subunit ribosomal RNA
Source: RNAcentral
GACGAACGCUGGCGGCGUGCCUAAUACAUGCAAGUCGAGCGGACGGAUGGGAGCUUGCUCCCAGACCGUCAGCGGCGGACGGGUGAGUAACACGUGGGCAACCUGCCUGUAAGACUGGGAUAACUCCGGGAAACCGGGGCUAAUACCGGAUAACUCUUUCCCUCACAUGAGGGAAAGCUGAAAGAUGGCAUCUCGCUAUCACUUACAGAUGGGCCCGCGGCGCAUUAGCUAGUUGGUGAGGUAACGGCUCACCAAGGCGACGAUGCGUAGCCGACCUGAGGGGGUGAACGGCCAAACUGGGACUGGGACACGGCCCAGACUCCUACGGGAGGCAGCAGUAGGGAAUCUUCCGCAAUGGACGAAGGUCUGACGGAGCAACGCCGCGUGAGUGAUGAAGGUUUUCGGAUCGUAAAACUCUGUUGUCAGGGAAGAACAAGUACCGGAGUAACUGCCGGUACCUUGACGGUACCUGACCAGAAAGCCACGGCUAACUACGUG